Molecule: ribosomal RNA, 468 nt
Filed under: uncultured bacterium
Lineage: Bacteria
Description: partial 16S ribosomal RNA
Rfam family: Bacterial small subunit ribosomal RNA
Source: RNAcentral
GACGAACGCUGGCGGCGUGCUUAACACAUGCAAGUCGAACGGAAAGGCCCUGCUUUUGUGGGGUGCUCGAGUGGCGAACGGGUGAGUAACACGUGAGUAACCUGCCCUUGACUUUGGGAUAACUUCAGGAAACUGGGGCUAAUACCGGAUAGGAGCUCCUGCUGCAUGGUGGGGGUUGGAAAGUUUCGGCGGUUGGGGAUGGACUCGCGGCUUAUCAGCUUGUUGGUGGGGUAGUGGCUUACCAAGGCUUUGACGGGUAGCCGGCCUGAGAGGGUGACCGGCCACAUUGUGACUGAGAUACGGCCCAGACUCCUACGGGAGGCAGCAGGGGGGAAUAUUGCACAAUGGGCGGAAGCCUGAUGCAGCAACGCCGCGUGCGGGAUGACGGCCUUCGGGUUGUAAACCGCUUUCGCCUGUGACGAAGCGUGAGUGACGGUAAUGGGUAAAGAAGCACCGGCUAACUACGUG